Molecule: long non-coding RNA, 368 nt
Organism: Octodon degus (degu)
Lineage: Eukaryota; Metazoa; Chordata; Mammalia; Rodentia; Octodontidae
Exons: 3
Source: RefSeq, a predicted model, not a curated record
GUGUGGUGGUGUUUGUGGUGCUGGGAACGAGCCCAGGUCCUGGCCCAUGGAAGGCAACCGAGCCACACCAAAGGCCCCUGAGGACAUUGUCAAUCACCUGUUUUCCUUGCACAUUGAGGGGUGAGACAGAAGAGACCCCACUUCCUGACCCCCGCCCUUUGUGCCCUACAGCCCCUGGAUCCGAGAGGAGCUGCCCUCGCUGCCGCCUUCCUCCCAGGCCCCUCCGCGGUGGGCCUGAGCCCAGCUGAAGAUGCCUGCAAACCCCUCGCGCCCUCUGAACCCCGCCUUUGCCCCAGGGUGGCUCCAUCACCCUCUAGAAUUUCCUUGUGUGGGCUACACACACAUACACACCAGGCCUCCCACAGAGA